AAGCUGUUUCUGAAGAUCUGAGGGUUUCUGAAACAAGUGUCGCUGUUUAGCAACUAUCAAACCGCAAAAUGAGCAAGAUGGUCCGACUGAUCGGACCUGACGUGACUGUCGACAGCCAAUGUGAGAUGAAUCAAGCAUGUGUGACAAUCCUAUGAUGUCAGGCUGUUGUUUCACCAGAUCAGUGAGGAUUGGCCGAGAGUCGACGCCACUGUGGCACAGAGGACAAGACAGAGAGAACAACCGCCAAUCCGCAGUCACUAGCUCAGCCAGACUAAGCACACCACAAGGGGGCAGUGUCGGCCAGCGCAGGGGUGAGGCACACCUGGAACCCUUGCACGCAGGCCGGUCAGACAAUCCUGGAUCCCACCACCACCUGCGACACGUCUCGUCCAGCUUUCAAACCCGACUCCUGCACCAGCACCGAGGAUCCGAGCCGGACGCCGAGAUGAGUGACACUACGUCCGAGGAGAGAUCCAGCACCACCACCGUCCUACUGCUCUUCGUCUUCUUGCUCCUCUUGGCCGUUCUGCUCGUCUUCUUCUACCGCCGGCUGAACCGAGCCACGGACGGGGCCUACGCCCUGAGCAAGCUCGGCCCGUGGCUGGGAGGCCAGGCGGAGAGGGCGAGCUCAGGCCUGCGGGCCCUGGAGGGCCGCGUGGGGCUCGGCCGGGGGGGGAGAGAGGGGGGCUUGGGGGACGAAGAGGCAGAAGAGGAGGGCGGCGAGGAGGAGGAGGAGGAGGAGGAGGAGGACCGAGAGAAGGACGUCGAAGCCUGCGCCUCCAGGCCGCGAGUGAAGUCGGACAGCGAGGACUCGGAGGAUGACUACUCCAGUAUGGAAGGCUGCAACCUCAGGGACAGGGCCAAGCUGGACGAGGAAGAGGAGGAGGAGCAAGAGAAGGAGAGGGAGGGGGAGCAGGCGGGGGAGAAGGGAGGGCUCCUGGUGGACCUGGGGCACUUUGCCGGCAGCGCCUCCUGGGCAGCAGACGAGUCACUUGUGCAGGGGAAGGAGGACAUGACUGUGCUGUAA
This 1027-nucleotide long non-coding RNA is filed under the name Lepisosteus oculatus (spotted gar). RNAcentral describes it as "lncRNA (ENSLOCG00000021372.1)". Lineage: Eukaryota; Metazoa; Chordata; Actinopteri; Semionotiformes; Lepisosteidae. The record is from RNAcentral.